This 247-nucleotide ribosomal RNA is filed under the name uncultured bacterium. RNAcentral's name for it is "partial 16S ribosomal RNA". It matches the Rfam family "Bacterial small subunit ribosomal RNA", at positions 523 to 769 of the family's 1533-position model. The record is from RNAcentral.
AUACGAAGGGGGCUAGCGUUGUUCGGAAUGACUGGGCGUAAAGGGCGCGUAGGCGGCGCAUCAAGUCGGGCGUGAAAGCCCCGGGCUCAACCUGGGAACUGCGUUCGAGACUGGUGCGCUGGAGUUCGGGAGAGGAGAGUGGAAUUCCCAGUGUAGAGGUGAAAUUCGUAGAUAUUGGGAAGAACACCGAUGGCGAAGGCAGCUCUCUGGACCGAUACUGACGCUGAGGCGCGAAAGCGUGGGGAGC